GACUCGUCACACUAUCAUUAACUGAAUCCAUAGGUUAAUGAGGCGAACCGGGGGAACUGAAACAUCUAAGUACCCCGAGGAAAAGAAAUCAACCGAGAUUCCCCCAGUAGCGGCGAGCGAACGGGGAGGAGCCCAGAGCCUGAAUCAGCAUGUGUGUUAGUGGAAGCGUCUGGAAAGGCGCGCGAUACAGGGUGACAGCCCCGUACACAAAAGCGCAUGUGCUGUGAGCUCGAUGAGUAGGGCGGGACACGUGGUAUCCUGUCUGAAUAUGGGGGGACCAUCCUCCAAGGCUAAAUACUCCUGACUGACCGAUAGUGAACCAGUACCGUGAGGGAAAGGCGAAAAGAACCCCGGCGAGGGGAGUGAAAAAGAACCUGAAACCGUGUACGUACAAGCAGUGGGAGCCCCACCACUAAGCCAGUGGUGAACUCCACAUACGCAUCCUUUGCUGAGGAUACGGUUAACGGAGCGAAAGCGACGUUCAACCUCAAAACAAGCAGAGGGGGCUUAGUGGUGGGGUGACUGCGUACCUUUUGUAUAAUGGGUCAGCGACUUAUAUUCUGUAGCAAGGUUAACCGUAUAGGGGAGCCGGAGGGAAACCGAGUCUUAACCGGGCGUUAAGUUGCAGGGUAUAGACCCGAAACCCGGUGAUCUAGCCAUGGGCAGGUUGAAGGUUGGGUAACACUAACUGGAGGACCGAACCGACUAAUGUUGAAAAAUUAGCGGAUGACCUGUGGCUGGGGGUGAAAGGCCAAUCAAACCGGGAGAUAGCUGGUUCUCCCCGAAAGCUAUUUAGGUAGCGCCUCGUGAAUUCAUCUCCGGGGGUAGAGCACUGUUUCGGCUAGGGGGCCAUCCCGGCUUACCAACCCGAUGCAAACUGCGAAUACCGGAGAAUGUUAUCACGGGAGACACACGGCGGGUGCUAACGUCCGUCGUGAAGAGGGAAACAACCCAGACCGCCAGCUAAGGUCCCAAAGUCAUGGUUAAGUGGGAAACGAUGUGGGAAGGCCCAGACAGCCAGGAUGUUGGCUUAGAAGCAGCCAUCAUUUAAAGAAAGCGUAAUAGCUCACUGGUCGAGUCGGCCUGCGCGGAAGAUGUAACGGGGCUAAACCAUGCACCGAAGCUGCGGCAGCGACAUUUAGGUGUUGUUGGGUAGGGGAGCGUUCUGUAAGCCUGUGAAGGUGGCCUGUGAGGGUUGCUGGAGGUAUCAGAAGUGCGAAUGCUGACAUAAGUAACGAUAAAGCGGGUGAAAAGCCCGCUCGCCGGAAGACCAAGGGUUCCUGUCCAACGUUAAUCGGGGCAGGGUGAGUCGACCCCUAAGGCGAGGCCGAAAGGCGUAGUCGAUGGGAAACAGGUUAAUAUUCCUGUACUUGGUGUUACUGCGAAGGGGGGACGGAGAAGGCUAUGUUGGCCGGGCGACGGUUGUCCCGGUUUAAGCGUGUAGGUGUGUGUUCCAGGUAAAUCCGGUUCACUUUAACACUGAGGCGUGACGACGAGGCACUACGGUGCUGAAGCAACAAAUGCCCUGCUUCCAGGAAAAGCCUCUAAGCAUCAGGUAACAUCAAAUCGUACCCCAAACCGACACAGGUGGUCAGGUAGAGAAUACCAAGGCGCUUGAGAGAACUCGGGUGAAGGAACUAGGCAAAAUGGUGCCGUAACUUCGGGAGAAGGCACGCUGACAC
RNAcentral lists this ribosomal RNA (1682 nucleotides) under Salmonella enterica subsp. enterica serovar Napoli. RNAcentral's name for it is "partial 23S ribosomal RNA". It matches the Rfam family "Bacterial large subunit ribosomal RNA", at positions 137 to 1757 of the family's 2925-position model. Lineage: Bacteria; Pseudomonadati; Pseudomonadota; Gammaproteobacteria; Enterobacterales; Enterobacteriaceae. The record is from RNAcentral.